This 499-nucleotide ribosomal RNA is filed under the name bacterium PMB43. RNAcentral describes it as "bacterial SSU rRNA". It matches the Rfam family "Bacterial small subunit ribosomal RNA", at positions 13 to 504 of the family's 1533-position model. The record is from RNAcentral.
UUGAUCCUGGCUCAGAUUGAACGCUGGCGGCAUGCCUUACACAUGCAAGUCGAACGGCGGCGCGGGAGCAAUCCUGGCGGCGAGUGGCGAACGGGUGAGUAAUACAUCGGAACGUGUCCUGUAGUGGGGGAUAGCCCGGCGAAAGCCGGAUUAAUACCGCAUACGCUCUACGGAGGAAAGGGGGGGAUCUUAGGACCUCUCGCUACAGGGGCGGCCGAUGGCGGAUUAGCUAGUUGGUGGGGUAAAGGCCUACCAAGGCGACGAUCCGUAGCUGGUCUGAGAGGACGACCAGCCACACUGGGACUGAGACACGGCCCAGACUCCUACGGGAGGCAGCAGUGGGGAAUUUUGGACAAUGGGGGCAACCCUGAUCCAGCAAUGCCGCGUGUGUGAAGAAGGCCUUCGGGUUGUAAAGCACUUUUGUCCGGAAAGAAAUCAUCCUGGUUAAUACCUGGGGUGGAUGACGGUACCGGUAAGUAAUAGCACCGGGGCUAACUAA